GUCCACGCCGUAAACGAUGAUCACUCGUUGUUGGCGAUACACCGUCAGCGACUGAGCGAAAGCAAUAAGUGAUCCACCUGGGGAGUACGGCGGCAACGCUGAAACUCAAAGGAAUUGACGGGGGCCCGCACAAGCGGAGGAACAUGUGGUUUAAUUCGAUGAUACGCGAGGAACCUUACCUGGGCUUGAAAGGGGAUUGACCUCCCGGGAAACCGGGAUUCUCUUCGGAGCAAUCUCCUAGGUGCUGCAUGGUUGUCGU
RNAcentral lists this ribosomal RNA (259 nucleotides) under uncultured bacterium. RNAcentral describes it as "partial 16S ribosomal RNA". It matches the Rfam family "Bacterial small subunit ribosomal RNA", at positions 793 to 1055 of the family's 1533-position model. The record is from RNAcentral.